RNAcentral lists this ribosomal RNA (465 nucleotides) under uncultured bacterium. RNAcentral's name for it is "partial 16S ribosomal RNA". It matches the Rfam family "Bacterial small subunit ribosomal RNA", at positions 28 to 507 of the family's 1533-position model. The record is from RNAcentral.
GACGAACGCUGGCGGCGUGCUUAACACAUGCAAGUCGAACGGAAAGGCCCUGCUUGCAGGGUACUCGAGUGGCGAACGGGUGAGUAACACGUGGGUGAUCUGCCCUGCACUUCGGGAUAAGCCUGGGAAACUGGGUCUAAUACCGGAUAGGAGCCAUUUUUAGUGUGAUGGUUGGAAAGUUUUUUCGGUGUAGGAUGAGCUCGCGGCCUAUCAGCUUGUUGGUGGGGUAAUGGCCUACCAAGGCGGCGACGGGUAGCCGGCCUGGGAGGGUGGACGGGCACAGUGGGACUGGGAGACGGCCCAGACUCCUACGGGAGGCAGCAGUGGGGAAUAUUGCACAAUGGGCGCAAGCCUGAUGCAGCGACGCCGCGUGGGGGAUGACGGCCUUCGGGUUGUAAACUCCUUUCGCUAGGGACGAAGCUUUUUGUGACGGUACCUAGAUAAGAAGCACCGGCUAACUACGUG